RNAcentral lists this ribosomal RNA (253 nucleotides) under uncultured bacterium. RNAcentral's name for it is "partial 16S ribosomal RNA". It matches the Rfam family "Bacterial small subunit ribosomal RNA", at positions 524 to 776 of the family's 1533-position model. The record is from RNAcentral.
GACGAACCGUGCGAACGUUGUUCGGAAUCACUGGGCAUAAAGGGCGCGUAGGCGGCUUAUCAAGUCAGGGGUGAAAUCCGGCAGCUCAACUGUCGAAGUGCCCUUGAUACUGACGAGCUCGAGGGAGGUAGGGGUGUGCGGAACUUCCGGUGGAGCGGUGAAAUGCGUUGAUAUCGGAAGGAACGCCGGUGGCGAAAGCGGCGCACUGGACCUCCUCUGACGCUGAGGCGCGAAAGCUAGGGGAGCAAACGGG